AGUAGUUUGAUCAUGGCUCAGGACGAACGCUGGCGGCGUGCUUAACACAUGCAAGUCGAACGAGGAUAUGGUUGGAAGUCCUUCGGGAUGGAAGAUCAUAUUCGAGUGGCGGACGGGUGAGUAACGCGUGAACAAUCUGUCCCGGAAUGGGGGAUAACACUUGGAAACAGGUGCUAAUACCGCAUAAGACCACACUGUCGCAUGGCAGAGGGGUAAAAGGAGCAAUCCGAUCCGGGGUGAGUUCGCGUCCGAUUAGCCAGUUGGCGGGGUAACGGCCCACCAAAGCGACGAUCGGUAGCCGACCUGAGAGGGUGAUCGGCCACAUUGGAACUGAGAGACGGUCCAAACUCC
Molecule: ribosomal RNA, 351 nt
Filed under: uncultured Coriobacteriales bacterium
Lineage: Bacteria; Bacillati; Actinomycetota; Coriobacteriia; Coriobacteriales
Description: bacterial SSU rRNA
Rfam family: Bacterial small subunit ribosomal RNA
Source: RNAcentral